CAGGGUACCCUCUGACCCUCCUUAGUUCAACCAAAUGAACUAAAAUUUUAAAAUAACACAACUUUUUGAAAAAUUAGUUCAUUUGUUUGAACUAAGGAGGGUCACAGGGUACCCUG
Non-coding RNA from Brachypodium distachyon (stiff brome), 116 nucleotides. The record is from Rfam. NCBI's taxonomy places the organism in Eukaryota, Viridiplantae, Streptophyta, Magnoliopsida, Poales, Poaceae.